This is a non-coding RNA of Myodes glareolus (Bank vole), 956 nucleotides long. The record is from RefSeq and is a predicted model, not a curated record. Lineage: Eukaryota; Metazoa; Chordata; Mammalia; Rodentia; Cricetidae.
AAUUCCUGUUCCUCCUUGCUGUUCUCACACUUCAGACGUUUGUGGAGGGAUAUUAGACUCCCCCGGGGCCCUGGAAAAAUGGCCCUGCCAGCCUGGGAGUCUCCUGCCUGGCACUGUGCUCUCCCGGCUCGCUGAAUCAUUUAACUCUUUCCUGUGCUGGUGCUGCCACGUGUGUGACAUUUAGAACACAAGGACAGAAAGCCAGGUCAUCGAGUCGCUGAGGGACUCUCUGGCUUUACCAUCUACAGCCCAGCUUCUCAGUCACCAACACCGAAAACCCAGACCCACGUGCAGCCUCCUCCGGAAUUCCCAUCACUGGUCAGAAAGCUCAUAGUUCUCCGCCUGCCUCUCUGCCUCCCGAGUGAAGAGAAAGGCGAGUACCAUCAGACCAGGCCCUGCACGCUUUCUUUCUAGAGCUGGAUAUUGAAGCACUUUAGGUAUUAGUGAAAGUAAUUUCCGGGCUAGAGGUUUUAGGAGAAAAAAAAAAAAAAUAAAGGAGCCAACACGACAGGAGGGGCAGAUCCAAACUAUCCGGAAUCAGAAAUGCCGUGCAUCUGGGUCGUGGGACACACACGGGUACCCUCUGAUGCGACUCAUGGGCUCCACGCUAUACCCCGUGACUCAGGGAGGCGUCUUUAAGACAGCCUGCAGCUGCAGGCUGAACAAGGUGCCCUGUUGAAGCGCUGGGGGAGGAGCUGAGGCAGGAGGCUCUCAGGUCUGAACAAUGAGACGGGUGUCUUAAAAACAAAGUUUGAAUUCCGGUAUCUACUAUCAAUCGUGUGAGAUCUACUCAGAUCUUGUGGACUGAGAAACUCCUAAAGCCAAAAGAAUGCCCCAUGUACCCCGCCCCAGGGCCCCCCCCCCCCCCGUCACCUCACUCCUCCCAUCCCCCAAAGGCCUGAACCUCAAGACUCCUCUGACUGGAAACGUUCCAAGGAACGCCACUCACCUCCACC